GCCAGCAACCAUAUCACCCUGCGGCUCACAGCUGGCAGUCCACUGAAAUUCAGCAGGUGUGAGCCUGGUCAGUACCUGGAUGGUAAACCUCCUGGGAAAAACUAAGGUUGCUGCUGGAA
Molecule: ribosomal RNA, 119 nt
Filed under: Lepisosteus oculatus (spotted gar)
Lineage: Eukaryota; Metazoa; Chordata; Actinopteri; Semionotiformes; Lepisosteidae
Source: RNAcentral